Molecule: long non-coding RNA, 270 nt
Organism: Micropterus dolomieu (smallmouth bass)
Lineage: Eukaryota; Metazoa; Chordata; Actinopteri; Centrarchiformes; Centrarchidae
Exons: 3
Source: RefSeq, a predicted model, not a curated record
UGGAAAUGAACUUUUCUGUAUCUGGUGCAAUACAUGUGUUGUGCCUUGCGCCUGUUAAAGAUGCAGAGCUUUUUGGAACCGAAAUCCUGAGGUUUUAACGGGCAUUAAGGAUACUCUGCCACAUGCACCAUCUGAUUGAUGAUGCGAUCCAGCUCCUACAAAAAGAAAUACAUACCAUCUAGGACAAAAAGACGAAAACUGCCACCCUAGCUUUACCUACCUUCUACUAAACAAACAUGGCUGACUGAGAAACCUGUGCUGCUUGGUAUG